RNAcentral lists this ribosomal RNA (253 nucleotides) under uncultured Lactobacillus sp. Its description in RNAcentral is "partial 16S ribosomal RNA". It matches the Rfam family "Bacterial small subunit ribosomal RNA", at positions 524 to 776 of the family's 1533-position model. The record is from RNAcentral. Lineage: Bacteria; Bacillati; Bacillota; Bacilli; Lactobacillales; Lactobacillaceae.
UACGUAGGUGGCAAGCGUUAUCCGGAAUUAUUGGGCGUAAAGAGCGCGCAGGUGGUUAAUUAAGUCUGAUGUGAAAGCCCCCGGCUUAACCGAGGAAUUGCAUCGGAAACUGUGUUUCUUGAGUGCAGAAGAGGAGAGUGGAACUCCAUGUGUAGCGGUAAAAUGCGUAGAUAUAUGGAAGAACACCAGUGGCGAAGGCGGCCGCCUGGCCUGUUACUGACGCUGAGGCACGAAAGCGUGGGGAGCAAAUAGG